UGGGGAUCUUCCGCAAUGGGCGAAAGCCUGACGGAGCAAUACCGCGUGAGGGAAGAAGGCUCUUGGGUUGUAAACCUCUUUUCUCAGGGAAGAAUAAAUGACGGUACCUGAGGAAUAAGCAUCGGCUAACUCCGUGCCAGCAGCCGCGGUAAUACGGAGGAUGCAAGCGUUAUCCGGAAUGAUUGGGCGUAAAGGGUCCGCAGGUGGUAGUGUAAGUCUGCUGUUAAAGAGUCACGCUCAACGUGAUAAAAGCAGUGGAAACUACACAACUAGAGUACGGUAGGGGCAGAAGGAAUUCCUGGUGUAGCGGUGAAAUGCGUAGAUAUCAGGAAGAACACCGGUGGCGAAAGCGUUCUGCUAGACCUGUACUGACACUGAGGGACGAAAGCUAGGGGAGCGAAAGGGAUUAGAUACCCCUGUAGUC
This 424-nucleotide ribosomal RNA is filed under the name uncultured bacterium. RNAcentral's name for it is "bacterial SSU rRNA". It matches the Rfam family "Bacterial small subunit ribosomal RNA", at positions 356 to 795 of the family's 1533-position model. The record is from RNAcentral.